UACGUAGGGGGCAAGCGUUGUCCGGAUUUAUUGGGCGUAAAGAGCGUGUAGGCGGCCAGGUAGGUCUGCUGUGAAAACUCGAGGCUUAACCUCGAGCUGUCGGCGGAAACCAUCUGGCUAGAGUCCGGAAGAGGAGAAUGGAAUUCCCGGUGUAGCGGUGAAAUGCGCAGAUAUCGGGAAGAACACCCGUGGCGAAGGCGGUUCUCUGGGACGGGACUGACGCUGAGACGCGAAAGCUAGGGUAGCAAACGGG
RNAcentral lists this ribosomal RNA (253 nucleotides) under uncultured bacterium. RNAcentral describes it as "partial 16S ribosomal RNA". It matches the Rfam family "Bacterial small subunit ribosomal RNA", at positions 524 to 776 of the family's 1533-position model. The record is from RNAcentral.